UGUCCUGGACCUGGCUAGAGUUGCACCUGAUUUGGUGGGGCUUGUCUCACAUCAGCCAGGAACAAAUUAACUAACUCCUUGUUUAUACCCUCUUGGCUCUUGGUCUGUGCCCAUGCCUGCUUCAUGUCCUGAACACAUGG
Small nucleolar RNA from Phyllostomus discolor (pale spear-nosed bat), 140 nucleotides. RefSeq annotates it as small nucleolar RNA SNORA48. The transcript has a single exon. The record is from RefSeq and is a predicted model, not a curated record. NCBI's taxonomy places the organism in Eukaryota, Metazoa, Chordata, Mammalia, Chiroptera, Phyllostomidae.